This 75-nucleotide microRNA precursor is filed under the name Microtus ochrogaster (prairie vole). Its description in RNAcentral is "miRNA (ENSMOCG00000005422.1)". The stretch from base 3 to 67 matches the Rfam family "mir-290 microRNA precursor family". Lineage: Eukaryota; Metazoa; Chordata; Mammalia; Rodentia; Cricetidae. The record is from RNAcentral.
UAGUGGUCAAUAAAGUGGAGGCCCUCUCUGAGACAGAACUAGAAAGUGCUUCCACUUUGUGUGCCCCUGUGUGGG